Molecule: ribosomal RNA, 253 nt
Filed under: uncultured bacterium
Lineage: Bacteria
Description: partial 16S ribosomal RNA
Rfam family: Bacterial small subunit ribosomal RNA
Source: RNAcentral
UACGGAGGGGGCUAGCGUUGUUCGGAAUUACUGGGCGUAAAGCGCACGUAGGCGGCUUUGUAAGUUAGAGGUGAAAGCCCGGGGCUCAACUCCGGAAUUGCCUUUAAGACUGCAUCGCUAGAAUUGUGGAGAGGUAAGUGGAAUUCCGAGUGUAGAGGUGAAAUUCGUAGAUAUUCGGAAGAACACCAGUGGCGAAGGCGAGUCCCUGGACAAAACCUGACACUGAGGCACGAAAGCUAGGGGAGCAAACAGG